UGGCACUUUUGAGCUCCUCAUGCGGAAUUGUGAAACAGAGGGCCAAAUUUCAACUAUCAAGACUUGUCAGUUCUCUGCUACUGAACUCAUUGUUUGUUCAGCUGAUGGCAGGAUAACUGUGGUGGCUGACUUGUCUCUGGCCAUCACAAGUGAAGGAGUUCCUUCUAGAAUCCACCUGGUAGA
Etheostoma spectabile (orangethroat darter) is the source of this 183-nucleotide long non-coding RNA. RefSeq lists it as uncharacterized. The record is from RefSeq and is a predicted model, not a curated record. The transcript has 2 exons. NCBI's taxonomy places the organism in Eukaryota, Metazoa, Chordata, Actinopteri, Perciformes, Percidae.